Molecule: long non-coding RNA, 1732 nt
Organism: Neopsephotus bourkii (Bourke's parrot)
Lineage: Eukaryota; Metazoa; Chordata; Aves; Psittaciformes; Psittacidae
Exons: 3
Source: RefSeq, a predicted model, not a curated record
UGCUACCAGAUUCCAGCUGUUUGCUCCCUUCUUCUGAGCAGCCAUCCUCUUAAUGAUUUCUGCAUGGGGUUCCCCUUCUCCCUUAGAACUCAAUCAUUAGGCUUACAGCUCAGAGGUUUAGGUCAGAUGUAUCUGAUACAAAGACUAUGUAUGAGGCAAGUUUCCUCCUGAAUGCUUGUGCUCAUUUCCUGGAAAAGACAUUUGUUUGCCUGGCCUGUGUGUGCUGUAUUGCCUACAACUCCUUAUCAGCCUUCUCCCUCUAACUUCAGGCUCCUAUCUUUUAAUCUUCUCUCAGGUUUACCUCUGUGCCUGGAGGUAAUCUGCCUUCCCAGGCCAUGGACUUCUUACUCUCCUGCUCUGGUAUUGACCUUCUGCUGCUUUGAUCAGACUGGGCUCUGAUGUCCAAACUGUCUUAAGUCAGCUGUGGAAGUUACUAUAUGAAACCUAGGUGAUUUAUAAAAUAACAAAUUAGGCAGGCAAAACCAGAGGCAACUAAAAUAUAUUUGUGACUUUUAUAACUGCUUUAGGGACAUGAUUUCAGUUUUUAAGGCAACAGGUAUAUAGCUAGUUCUCCAGAAACAAGUACUAUGGAAUCAUAGAAUGGUUUGGGUUGGAAGGGACUUCAAAGAUCAUGCAGUUACAAUCCUCAUCUUAAAGCCUAUUACAAAGAAGAUUAUCAACAUCCUCUACAAACAAGUGAGAUAUACAGAACAAACCUGUGGAUUAAAUACCAUCUCUUUUGCAAAUGGCCUUACAGAAUUAAAUAAAAUUAAUAAAUAAUUUAAACAAGAAUAAAUAGUCUGUGGAGGUGAGGAUUAGGAGAAAAAGUGGUGCAGGCCAAGGGAGAAUAAGCUCUAUUAAAAAUACCCCAACAAAUACACAUGAAAGGAGACAAAGUAGAGGAAUAGGAGAUGGUGAACUGCAUAGGGCAGUGCUGUUGUACUUAGAAAAAUAAGUAAAUGGAAAGAAAAAGGAUCUUCUGUUCUAAGGCAUGAGGUUACCACGCAAAAAUGAUGUCAUGCCUCUUGUUUUUUUUCUGUCUCACUCUCUGAAAAUACAGCAUGGGAGUAUAGAAGAAUUGAGAUUACUACGUCGCAUUCAUUAUCAUGUCUAAUGGAAGUUACAACACUGUUAUCACAUGUAGCCAUGACAUCCUACUACGGCUUUCUUCAAGGACCUUCAAGAGCAAAACUGCAGAGCUUCCUUCAGUUAAACACAUUUGGUGUCUGCUGUCUUUGGUAGAGGUCUUACUAGUUAAAUAAUGGCAUCAGCAUAAAGGAAACACCUCUCCUGAUAAACUGAAGAACCACAUUUGUCAUUUUUAUGGCUGCAUCAUUGGGUAUUUGGACAACUGUGGCGAUUCCACAGAUGUACAGACUGCCCCUUGGGAAUGCUAUUUAUAAACUCAAAAGCGGCUGAGCAGCACUCACAAAAAGGCCACCAGUUUCAAGAAAAUUAAUGACAAUCUCACAUUGUUUGGGAAUGAAGAGACAAGAGGCAUUGUGUUAAGCUUAAAGCAUGAAGCAACAGACAAGUAUGUUUGCAGUCCUUUGUCUUGACCUGUCUAAGGUUGUGAUAUUGAUGAAAAUGCACUACUCACUGUGUGUCAGCUUAGAAAAAUUACUACAGGAAAACGUAAACAUACAGAUAACUCCAUAUCCUUUCUCCAAAAGGCUUUAGGAGUCCCCUGUCACAGAUCACUACAGAGAAUAUUGUGUCUUCAUGUCAUGGG